AUGACACCUGUGCCCAGGAUGGUGGGCCAGAAUAUAUAUGAUUUCUACUUAUCCUCAUCAUUCUGCCUGGAAUAUAAUCUUCCUGAAACAGUCUUUUCUUCUGAGAUGAAGAGAUUUUGUCAAAGGUGUUCCCUGGGAAGGAGGAAGGACUUUAGAAGAGCAGAUAAAGUCAAGCAUACAGGCAUCAUUCACAUAUCUGUCAGAAAAUUAUGGAAUUAA
This 219-nucleotide long non-coding RNA is filed under the name Vulpes vulpes (red fox). RNAcentral describes it as "lncRNA (ENSVVUG00000015983.1)". The record is from RNAcentral. Lineage: Eukaryota; Metazoa; Chordata; Mammalia; Carnivora; Canidae.